UUUUUUUUGUAGUUUCACUGGAAUGUGAGUAGAGAUGGAUUUCUUUGUAGUAUCCUGCUUGGGGGGCUUUACUCAUUAUAGCUGUCUUUCUGGAAGAAAUUAUGGCUAAGAGAACCUUGAAUGUUGUAGAAGCCAG
Long non-coding RNA from Eptesicus fuscus (big brown bat), 136 nucleotides. RefSeq lists it as uncharacterized. Lineage: Eukaryota; Metazoa; Chordata; Mammalia; Chiroptera; Vespertilionidae. The transcript has 3 exons. The record is from RefSeq and is a predicted model, not a curated record.